RNAcentral lists this transfer RNA (67 nucleotides) under Agnetina aequalis. RNAcentral describes it as "tRNA-Pro". The record is from RNAcentral. Lineage: Eukaryota; Metazoa; Arthropoda; Insecta; Plecoptera; Perlidae.
CAGAGAGUAGUUUAUUUAAAAUAUUAGUUUUGGGGACUAAUGAAAGGGGGCAAACCUCUUUCUCUGA